GAUGCGUAGCCGACUGAGAGGGUGAUCGGCCACAUUGGGACUGAGACACGGCCCAGACUCCUACGGGAGGCAGCAGUCGGGAAUAUUGCCCAAUGGGGGAAACCUGAAUGCAGAACGCCGCGUGAGUGAAGAGGUCUUCGGAUUGUAAAGCUCUGUCUUUGGGGACGCAUAAUGACGGUACCCAAGGAGGAAGCCACGGCU
This 201-nucleotide ribosomal RNA is filed under the name uncultured Clostridium sp. Its description in RNAcentral is "partial 16S ribosomal RNA". It matches the Rfam family "Bacterial small subunit ribosomal RNA", at positions 278 to 498 of the family's 1533-position model. The record is from RNAcentral. Lineage: Bacteria; Bacillati; Bacillota; Clostridia; Eubacteriales; Clostridiaceae.